Molecule: small nuclear RNA, 164 nt
Organism: Cercocebus atys (sooty mangabey)
Lineage: Eukaryota; Metazoa; Chordata; Mammalia; Primates; Cercopithecidae
Gene: U1
Rfam family: U1 spliceosomal RNA
About the family: U1 is a small nuclear RNA (snRNA) component of the spliceosome (involved in pre-mRNA splicing). Its 5' end forms complementary base pairs with the 5' splice junction, thus defining the 5' donor site of an intron.
Source: Ensembl
AAAACAGCCUGGCAGGAGAGAUACCAUGAUCAUGAAGGUGGUUUUCCCGGGGCUGGACUUAUCCAUUGCAUUCCAGAUGUGCUGACGCCUGUGAUUUUCCCAAAUGUGGGAAACUGGACUGCAUAAUUUGUGGUAGUGGGGGAUUAUGUUCGUGUUCUCUCCUG